AUCACUCUUAACCACUCAUCUUCUUCAUCUAAUCUUUUCUCUUAACAUGAAUUGGAAUCAAUUACGCGACAGUCGACCACCGGUAGUGCCAUCAUCCACUAUUUCAUCUGCUCCAAAAACCACUGAUUUAAGCUUUUUUUUUCAUCUUCUUGUUUCCCCCCUUUAUUUAUCUGUUAUCUGUAAGAAAAAUGGGUAAGACAGCUUCCCUCUCCAAAUCACAUUUUAUAGAUCUAUUAUUAAGAAAUGAGUUUUAGUUUUAGUUUUAGUUUUUUUGUUAUCUUCUGGAAAUUGAUUGAGAGUUGAAACUGUUGAGAAAUGAGUUUUUAUUCUUUCUUGUUAUGUUCUAGAAAUUGAUGGAGUGUAGAAGAGAAUGAGGAGUAAGAUUAAAGUAAAAACAAGAUGGAAACAGAAAUGGGUUCUGCAAUUUUUAUUUUUACAACUGUGGUUCAAGAACACUCGAUUACAGCUCCAACCAAG
This 477-nucleotide long non-coding RNA is filed under the name Gossypium barbadense (sea-island cotton). Its description in RNAcentral is "long non-coding RNA (GBAR_LNC013654)". The record is from RNAcentral. Lineage: Eukaryota; Viridiplantae; Streptophyta; Magnoliopsida; Malvales; Malvaceae.